UUUCAAAUACAGAAGCUUAUAUGUAAUGUGAUCUUUAGCAGCAGCAAAGACAGGCACUCUCAUAAGGAUGAGAAUAGGCAGUAGCAGUAGCAGGUGCUUUGUCAUUCAUGGUGGUAGCCUUGUUACAAAUCACAAAGUAACUGGCAUGGCAUGAAAAUCUAAAUGAGCAAAACCUGCCCUAUUCUUGGUAGUAUAUGCAAAUAGUUAUUAUAUACUCUAAAUUCUUAUAAAACGGUUGUUUAAAAAUUGAUAGUAAUUGUUUUCUAUUGCUGAAAUAAAAGCCCCUAAUCAUAUUUGCCAGAUGUACAAUGGUGAGCUCUCUAAACGUGCACCCUCAUAAAGGAUCUUACUGUUACCCAGGAUGAAGUACUGUGGCAUGAUCACAGCUCCCUGAAGCCUCAACCUCUCCAAGCUCAGGUGAUUUCUUCCACCUCAGCCUCCAAAGUAGCUGGGACUACAGGCAUGCGCCACUACACCCAGCUAAUUUUUUUGUGUGUUUUGGAGAGAUAGGGUUUCAUCAUGUUGCCCAGGCUGGUCUGAAACUCCUGGACUCAAGCAAUCUACCCACCUGGGCCUCCCAAAGUGCUAGGAUUACAGGCAUGAGCCACUACGCCCAGCAAGGUAUUUUCUGAAAAGGUGGAUUGCUGCUUCAAAGGACCUGGACCCAGAGGCCCUGUCCAUGAAUGUUUCUUGCUUGGUUCCGAGGCCACCAAACAUACUGGCUGAGCCUUCUGUAUUCACCCUGGCCUAUCAAUGCCAUCUAUGAGAGCAGCCACACUGAGAGAGCAGCAGCAUGGAGCCUACUCAAGGGUUGGACCGACUGUGACAUUUGGGGAAGCCCCACAGAACAGAGAGGGUACAGAAGCUGAUUUUGUGAUUGAUUGGAAUGGGACAGCAGUGAGGAGCCACCAUUUUGCUCACAGAUGAAAGAUCACCCAUUGUAAGAGGCUGCCUGAAGAGAAAACAAGCAAGAAAGACUGGCCAAAUUUGCAGUGCGGAGGUCCAGGAAAGAGCCUGGAUAGUGAGCAGGUUGUUUGCUGCCGACCCUAAAGAUGCAGGAAUCCAGCCAUGACCAUGCAGUUUUGGCCACACAAAUACCUUUGUUCAGAGAGGUUUUCAGCUGAGGUGACAUUUCUGCAAACAAAGUAGACUUGGCUUCCCUGGAAAGUGAUGGAACCAUUGAAAAGCCAGAAAAAUAAAGAGUUUUAAUGGAGUAAAAAUUACAAAUGCCACAUGGCAUAUGGGAUACAUUGUGAAGAAGUAAUCAUGAGACUAGAAGCCAUAGAUUUAAUAAGACUCGAUUCUCACCACAUGUACAAACAGAAUUAGGAAUAAAUCGCAUACAAUGGUAUGGAGAAAGUAGAACGAUCAUUUAUCUUUUAUUACUAUUCUUUAUCUGUUUAUUUUUAUAAAUGGACAAUGAAUAGUGUUCUGUGCAUUUACUUUAACUCUUAUGAACAAAUGCAUGCAGUAAAAUAAGGGUAAUGCUUGAAUAAUGAUUUUAAAAUUUUCUUUCUCCUUUUAGACAGUUCAUUGGUCAUAUGAUACCAUAGUUAGAAAUUUUGCUUCAUCGUCAAGAAAGUGAAUGCUUUCAUACCUCAAUGUAAUUUUGAAUCUCUCUUUGUGGUAUGGAAGCUGAAGACAACUAGCAACAUUUGGAAACUGGGGCUUUCUCUGUGAAUUUAAUUUUAUUUUAUAUUUCAUUCAGCAUGAUGCAUAUAUAGACUGAUUUAUUUAACUUUCAACUUCUCAAACAUUUUGUCUAUAUUCUUGUGGCUGGUUUCUUAAAUUAUGAGUAGAGGCUUAAAUAUAAUACUGCCUGAGCUUCUUUUCAAUGAAAAAAGUGAUGGUGAGGUGUUUCAUAUUAAGUCCCAAAUUAUGAACAAAUAUCAGUUUUAGAAUCUGAAUUUACUGGCGUUAUUUUCAAUUUUCCACUUACACAAAAGAAAAUGAAAUUUAACAUAAAACCAAUUACUUAAAAAUACUUUUUAACACCCCAUCAUCAGUGCUUCAUGUAGAAAAAACUAAUGCAGUUUGAAAUUAAAUUAUUUUACUCACCACUGGUGGCAAUUAUAAUAAAGAUUGAAAUAAUAAUUUUUGUUAUUGCUAGUGUUCAUAAUUUCUUCAUUCUUUUUUUCCAGCUCUGGAUCAUAGUAUUUCAGGAUUUGGGACAUAUUUUGUUUAAUUUAGCAAAUAAUAUUUGAUUAGUGAAAUAAUGUUUGACAUAUGAAAGUAUGUAUUUUGUAUUUUUACAUUGUGAACAAUUAAUGAACUAUAUACACAAUCUUCAUUUAAGCUACCUAAAUAUUAAUACCUACUCCAAUCACAUGACCCUGACUGUUUUCUAGCACUAACCACUAUCCUGAAUAUAUGUUUAUAAUUUUCUUGCUAUUUUCUACAUUACAAUUUUAACUCACGUACAUGCAGUCUUAAGCAAAAUAUGCUUAAUUGCCCACAUUUUUAAAGUUCUUAAAGUGGUAUCAUACUGUUGGUAGCCUUCAGUUGUUGGUUUGAUUUUGCCCAAUACUGUUUCAUGAUCCAAAUGUUUGUUGCAUGUGGUGAUAGUUUGUUAUUUUCACUGCUGUAUAGUGUUGCACUGGGUGGGUAUACAAUUUAUUUAUGGAUCCUCCUGAUGAUUACCAUCUGUGUUGUUUUCAGAUUUUGUUUUGUUUUAUUUUAGUUAUUACAAACAACAGUAUUGUACAUUGUAUUUUACAUGUCUCAUAGUUCUUAUGUGCAAGAGAGUUGUCUAGGGAAAUGUCUUUGAAGCUUUUUGAUAGUGACCCACAACUAGAAAAACUUCAUACUGUGACCAGAAAAAUAAUGUGAAGAACUGUGCAGGUGUAGCAUAUUGUCCUAUUUGCAAGCUAAUUACCCAGCCUGUUAUUAUUUCAUAGAUCCCGGUAGAAGACACAAAACUUCCACGUCAGAGACAAAGGAUUUCAUUACUCAUGGCAAAAGCAGGAAUCAGAGCUUCACAUUUGCUGGUGUCAAUUUCUCAUACCCUCAAAUCCCAGAAGCAUGACACAAAAGAGUCCAUGAUGGAUGUCUGAAUACACAGUGGGCUGUGUUAGAAGAGAGUAACACUGAGCUCAGGUGAUCUCUGCUUCUGUAGUAAGCUUGCACUUUGUCUCGGGGGAGACAUUCCCUCAUCACUCAAGACUGUUCCCUGCAAACACAACCUUGAAUAAUGGCCCAGAAGAGUGGUGAGAGUUCUAAAUUCCUGGCACUUCCAGCAAGUAUGCUCAGGAACACCAGGGCCCAAAGUGGAUUGCCUCUUCCUAAAAAUAUGUUUAUGACUGAAGCCCUUUCCUUUAAAAUGUUAGGUGAAUAUGGAUCUUUUAUUUGCUGUCCUAUUUCAUUUUCAAUAAUUCUGAGUAUGACUCACCAAAAUGAUUUCACAAAAUAAUCUGUAGUAACCUUCAAUUUAAACAACAAACAAAUAAAAAAAAUUGCUAUGUUAAGUAUAUAUUUGAGAGUGUAAUUGCAGAAUUACAUUCUUCCUUAACAUACAAUGUGAAUGGUUUUAUAAAGUGAUUUGUCAGUUAUUUAUCAUUUGCUUUUCACAAGCGGUGUAUGAAUAUUCCCCUUGCCAUAUGUCUCCACCACCACUUGGUUUUGUCAGACAUUUAUUGUUUGAUAAUCAAAUACUGCAUAAUUAUAUCUGAUUUGGUUGUAAUUUGCAUUUUACUUAUUAUUAAUGAGGUUUAGCAUUGCCAUAUGUGUAUAAGUCAUUUGUUUUUCAUUGUCUGUUAAAUGUCUGCAUAUGACUUUGGCCCGUUUUAAAAUUGAGAUAUUUCUUUCUUUUAGAUUGAUACAUGAAUUAUUUACAUUUGUGAGUUAUGAAUAUUGUCAAUAACGUCUCACUGUAGAUCAAUUUUUCACUGAAUUUCUGGUAUCAUUUUAUAAAUUAAAUUUAUUUUAAUGUUUCAAGUAUUCUAUUUUAAACUGAUAUUUUAUGGUAUUUGUCAUGUAUAAGAACUCAUUCUAGAUCAUUAGUCAUAAAGAUAUUCAUCUAAAUUUUCUUCAAAACUGUUAAAUGUCUUUAACAUUUAAGUCCUAAAUACAUCUGAACUGGUCCAAUAAUCCAAAUGAAUCAAAUAUCUAAGAAAAACUGUAACAAAGGAAGAGACAAAUCUAUAGAGAGUACAUUAUAAAACAUUCUUGAGGGAGAAUCAAUAUGAACCUAAAUUAAUAGAAAACUAUUUAUGGAGGGAAAGACAGUAUGUAAAGAAGCAAAUUAUCUUCAAUUCAUCUGUAAAUUUACUGCAAUCUCAAUAAAAAGUCAAGUAGAAGCUUUUUUGUUGAAAUUGAUAAGCCAAUAAUAAAUUGUAAAUAUUCAAAGAUCUAAUGAUAGCUAAUGCAAUAUUGAAGAUAAACUGAAAUUUUGGAGAAUCAAGACUUAUUUGAGGAUUGCAGUAAUGAAGACAGUGAUUAAUUGUGCAAGAAUAGACAAACCAUCCAAGAAAACAAAAUAGAGAGCUGAAAAGCAGACCCAGGCUUAUAUUGAUCAGUGAUAUAGGUGGCAUAACAGGAGGGUGACAAAAAGACAGUUAUUUCCAUAAAUUGUACUUCAUCAAUUGUAUAUCUGAGAGAGAGAGAAAGAGAGAGAAAUUGUUUUUAUUCAUAGUAUAAUAUAUAAUUGCUUCUAUUCAUAGAGAGAAAGACAGAGAGAUAACUGUUUCUAUUCAUAGUAUAAGCAUCUUAAUUUCAGGUGGUUUUUAGAUUUUUAUGUGAAAGUUAAAAAUAGUAAAUCCUAAGAGAGGAUAAUAUAGAGGACGUUUUCACCACAUGGGGUAUAUAAAGAUUAAUAAAACUGGACACAAAGUCUCUGAUUAUAAAAAAAAUUGACAAAUAUUUUGACUGUAAGAGAUUAUAUUAAUAAAUACACAAUACAAUUUUAAGAGAAAUGAAAUGAGAAAUGAAAAGAGCAGCAGUAGAGUGGGAUGUCAAAGUACAUAUGACUGACAAAAAAUUACAAAAUCAAGACUAAAAUGGCAUACCACUAGAGCAGCUAUAAAUACAAAGAGUAAAAAUGCUCUUCUGUUUGGAGGACGUGAAGCAUGUUCUUGGGCACUGAUUACGUGAGUAGGUAGCUUUUCCUGAUUAUAUCCUCUGCAGAGUUUUCAUAGUGUAUCAUGUCUAGAUCACAACUGGAAAGAUCUAUGGCAAAUUCAUCAUCUGUCAAUGAGCGCAACCAAUAUUUGUUACAAUUUUACCAUGUUUAAUUGUGAAAGAGUUCUUAGAGCAUCAAAACACAUAUCCAGAAAUACUAUCCUCAAGUACCAGGCAAUAUUUAUUUUUUUUCAGUUACUUUUCUGCCCUAUAUUUAUCACUAAGCUCAUAUGAACUUUUAAUUUUUUAAAAAAACCUUUAGGUGUCUGUUUUACUCAUUCCAGAGAGAAGGAACUUAUUGGCACAUGACUGAUUUAUUAAAUACACUCAAUAAAAGUUGGCAUUUUUACAGUCAGCAAGCUCAAUAAAGUUCACAAAUAAAUCUUCUAUAGUUCUCAUAUUUACAUAUUUCUCAUAUUACUCUUUACCUAGGUAUCUAUCAACUUUGAAAGAUCCAAAAAUAGAACAUGAGGGCCAUAAUUGUCUGGAAAUGAGGAGAGGGUAUAUUUCUUUGUGAGAAUUUUUUGUGUAAAUGAGUAAGUUAAGAUGAUAUUAUAAAACCAAUUAUUAUAAAAUUCCUGAGGAUAUCCUCUAUAGCAUGUACUUUGGCAUUGAUUAUCUAUAUGAGUAGGUAGCUUUUCCUGAUUACAUCCUUUAUAAAGUUUUCAUAGCAUAUCAUAGCUAUGAAAAUAUUUUUCAGAAAAAGAUAAACCACACAGGAAUAAAUGAUAAAGUGAAUGAUAACUUUUCAGUUAAAAAAAGAACUAAAUGUACAAUGAAAUUUGGGACUAAAUAAAUGGCACUUCUGCACAAUUCAGAUCUUUUUCCCCCUUAUGCUGAGCCUACUUUGUUGUUUUGCAUAACCUACAACAUGUAGACAUCUCAGUUAGAGACCUCUAUCCCAUACCCUUUUUCCCCAAAAGUUCUUUCCUUUCAUCAGUGAUGGCUGAGUCGAUUCUUAGACUAGUUCCAAUGUAUUCCCUUGAUGUAAUCAUCAGAUCUGUCUCCCCUCAGCACCUUGUUUGGGGAUGCUUCUCAUUCUCUAUGCCUAGGUACAAUUUCAAAUCCAGAGUUGGAGCUGUCAUCUUCAUAAAUUCUCCUUAGAUUAUAGGAGUUCACAAAAUCUUGUCAUUUCUGUGUACUCUUCUCGGUCUUAAGAAAUGUUUCUCCUGGAAUAACCUGUGGUCACCCUCUGAUAGGUAUGUUCUGUUAUUAUGUUUUUGUGUAAAUUUUGUCAAGCUAAUGUAACUGUGAUUUUAUUUCACAUGAUCUAUAGGGCCUUACACAAACCUGAACCUAAUAAAGACAUGUGGGACAUAAUCUCAAAAUGAUAUCACUGAAACUCAUUUCCAACCCAAUUAAACUGUUCUCCUAGGGUUGGUUGACAGUCCAGAAUUAUUAGGCUUCUCAGUGGAGCCAGAACAAUCUGUCCAGUGAUACUUGAUCCGAUCAAGUGUUUUCAUGGGUGGUUUGGAAACCAUGUCUUGCUUUGCAGAUGUUAUUUAUCACAAAGUUGCCCCUAGCCCUUUAAUGUUGAGGAUUUGAUAUUAGUGGAGUUGUGGAAGUGAAAUUAUUAGGGUGUCCUUAAAGUCCUUUUCCAUAAAUGAAUGAUUUAUUGGAGCAAUGAAAGAAAGGAAUAAGUUUGCCUGCUCAAUAUAGCCCGUCAUUUUUGAUGAAUGUGACUCACCUUUCUGUAAGAAGUUCAAUUUAGCACUGGUACCAAUUCUUGAAUUUUAUAGAGAAGGAAAUUGUAAAAUGUCUUAGAAAUGUGGCCACGGAGAGAACAAACUGAGGUUGAAUGAUGCAAAAUCAGAACUACACUGAAUGCAACGUAAUGCCAAUGCUGUUCAAUGCCAAGAGACUUACAGGAUAAAAUUUGGCUUUUUCCUUUUGAAAUAAUAUUAGCUUGCUAUUGAGUAAAAUCAGGUAGCAACACUUCAUAACUCCAUUACCUACCUGUUUUGUAUUCAUUAAAGUGUGGCUUUCUUGGCCUGACUGUCAGUGGUAUGCUGAGAUGGCUUGCCACAGCUCCAGAGUGCAUUGUAUAUAUUUCUUCUUGACUUCACGUUAAGUGACAUUAUGUUGGUAGCUUGGAAUUGGUCAUGAUGAAGCUAUAUAUACCAGGAAAACUGGCACAUGCUGCAAAUGAAGGCUCCUGCUCUUCCAGAGAUCUAACUGUUAAGUAUUUAUCAGCAUACUACUAACCUGUGUUCAAAGGUUGAACUGCAGAAGCCUCU
Molecule: long non-coding RNA, 7352 nt
Filed under: Homo sapiens (human)
Lineage: Eukaryota; Metazoa; Chordata; Mammalia; Primates; Hominidae
Description: HSALNT0213928
Source: RNAcentral